AGACUUACACAAGCCUCGAAAGCCCGAGCAGUGUUACAGUUCUCAGAUUGCCUUCUCUCAACAAGCGGCUGGUUUGCACUGGGGCCUCCCGGACUUCCUUUCAAAAAAUGGAGAAGUGGGAUUGCAGCUGCUGAAACGGGCCCAUGGGAGGUGUGAGGGCUGGCACGCGUGAUGGUGGGGCCCUGAGGUGGGGUGCUCAGUGCUGACCUUCCCGCUGGGCGGCCAGAUCCCCCGGACGCGGUGAAGAUCCUAAUGUGUGAAAAAAUGAAGUCCCAGUUGACCACGAUUUGCUGUUUAAUGUUAUUUCUGGCCACGGAGUGUUCUCACUCCAGAUCCAAGAUCCAAAUAAAAGAGGGAUAUAACCAUCAGCGUCCUGAAGAGAAACCCAAGGCUGAAAGUAUACAAGAGAAAUGCCAUGGACAUUGUACCGCUUCUUCCAACUGCAGCCAGUCCUGUGCUCAGCACUUUCGUGGAGAAAUAGGAUUUACAUGUCAUCAAAACAAGUGGCAAAAAUCAACUGAAACCUGUACAAGCCUUUCCAUGGAAGCACUCUUUAAGGACUCAGAUAGUGCAUCACGCCUUUCCGUAGCAGCAGCAUCUAUACCUCUGCACAUUCUUGACUUUCAAGCUCCAGCCCCCAUCGGGAGUGUCUCUCAAGGAAUCCGCAAGCACUGCCCCGUUGAUUACGCCUGCAUAGUCGAUGCUGUGAAAUCAUCAGAAGCCACAUCUGGAAAUAUCGCCUUUAUAGUGGAGUUAUUAAGAAAUAUUUCUACAGACUUGUCUGAUAAUGUUACCCAAGAGAAAAUGAAGAGCUACAGCAAAGUGGCCAGCCACAUUCUUGACCCCGCAGCCAUUUCAAACUGGGCUUUCAUUCCAGACAAAAAUGCCAGCUCAGAUUUGUUACAGUCAGUGAAUUUGUUUGCUGGGCAACUCAGCAUCCAAAAUGAAUCAGAGAACAUUGUGGACGAAUUCUUCAUUCAGACGAAAGGGUUUUACAUCAACCACGAUACCUCAGAGAAGAGUUUCAAUUUCUCCAUGAGCAUGAACAAUGCAAGAGAAGGUGUCUUAGGAAUGAUAGAAAUUCCCAGGCAUGAGCUGCAGACGUUGCCACCAAAUGCAUCCCAAGCCAUCAGCGUAGCUUUUCCCACCUUGGGGGCAGUUCUGAAAGAAGCGCACUUGGAAAAUGUGAGUCUUCCCAGGCCAGUAAAUGGUCUGAUUCUUUCCGUGAUUUUGCCAGACAGAUUGAAGCAGAUCUUACUCACCUUUGAGAAGAUCAACAGAUCCCGGAAUUCCAGGGCCCAGUGUGUUGGCUGGCACUCCAGAAAAAGGAGGUGGGAUGAGAAUGUGUGUGAAACGAUGUUGGAAACCAUGGACAAAGUGAAAUGCCAGUGUAACUACACUAGUAUGAUGAUGUCUUUUUCCAUUCUGAUGUCCCCCAAAUCUAUAGACGAUAAAGUCCUGGACUAUAUCACCUACAUUGGGCUCAGCAUCUCCAUCCUUAGCUUGAUUCUUUGCCUGCUCAUUGAAGCCACUGUGUGGUCCCGGGUGGUUGUGACAGAGAUAUCAUACAUGCGUCACAUGUGCAUCGUGAACAUCGCUGUAUCGCUCUUGACGGCUAAUGUGUGGUUCAUCAUAGCCUCUAACUUUAACAAGAAGGCUCCGGAUGACCACUGGUGUGUUGCAGUGACAUUUUUCAGCCACUUUUUCUACCUCUCUGUGUUCUUCUGGAUGCUCUUUAAAGCACUGCUCAUCCUCUAUGGAAUAUUGGUCAUUUUCCGGAGGAUGAUGAAGUCCUGUAUGAUUGCCAUUGGCUUUGCCGUUGGCUAUGGGUGCCCGCUGGUCAUUGCUGUCACCACAGUUGCUGUCACAGUGCCAAAGAAAGGCUACGUGAGACCUGAUGCCUGUUGGCUUAACUGGGACAAUACCAAGGCACUCUUAGCCUUUGCCAUCCCAGCUUUGGUCACUGUGGCUGUGAACCUUACCGUAGUUAUUGUCGUUGCUCUCAACACUCAGAGGCCCUCGAUUGGCAGUUCCAAGUCUCAGGAUGUAGCUGUAAUGAUGAGGAUCAGCAAAAAUGUUGCCAUCCUCACCCCACUGCUGGGACUGACCUGGGGUUUUGGAAUAGCCACCCUCAUAGAAGGCACUUCCUUGAUUUUUCACAUCAUCUUUGCCUUGCUUAAUGCUUUCCAGGGGUUCUUCAUCUUGUUGUUUGGAAUCAUUAUGGAUCACAAGAUAAGAGAUGCUUUGAGGGUGAGGAUGACUUCAUUGAAGGGGAGAUCAAGGGCAGCGGAGAAUGCUUCGUUAAACCCAAACAACGGAUCUAAGUUAACGCAUCGUGGAGGAUGACACGGAGAGGAUGAGGUCAUCACACCUGCACAGAUAUGGGAGGCACCCUUGCGGUCCACAGCACUCACACACCUAAUUCCGUCUUGUUGGCGUGUGGUGACACUUACCAUAGCCUCGUUGUUGAGACGGAAGACUUAGUGGAUUGAAAUCACAAAGCAAGAAGCCCGACUCUCCCUAAUGAAGUCGGAGCCCACAGUCAUUCCUAAGCAGGAGUGGGUGGAGUUGUGGCAAAUUAAUUGCCUACCAACCAACCUCUGAGUCAUAUUUCUACACAGGCUGACCCACUCCUCAAGGAUGGUCCAAGUCCUGGACUGAGCUUUGUGGUCCAGAAGGAGGCUGGAAGGCAGGGCCAGUCAUGCUUCCUCGGAAAACUUCCUCUUCCUGCCAAGAGUGACACCUGUGCUCCCAGUGUGAAAGUGUUUGCUGAGGACAAAGCGAGGAUCAGCAUUGGUGACUGACCCUUUGGCCUCCCCAUGACCUGCCAGAGCCUGGCUUCUUGAGCAGCCUUGGCAAGAUGAGGACAGCAAAUCAUUUUGUGACCUCCUUGCCAAGCUGGGGCUGUGGCGGCCCUACUAGACUUGGUCUGCUUUCACUCCGAGCCCUGCUCUGUGGCUCCACAGGUCCAGUCACCCAUUCCUGCAUGGAUCCUGGGUGCUCUAGGGGACAGGAGCCAGACCCAGGGGUAGGGUUGCGGGUGGGACUGGAGGCUCGGGUGUCAGGAGAAACACUGAAUCUAUUUUGUAGACCUUAAGUCUUGGUAGGGUCCCUCAAGAUAAAGAAAAGAAUUAAAAUAAGAGGACUUGUUAAUAUGAUUAUUAUUUUAGUCUGUUUUAGACUUUGAGGAAAAUAAUUUAGCUCCCAGGACCUUGGUUUCCUCAUUUGUGAAACAAGGAAAAUAUUCUUGUAGGUAUUAUUAUGUGCAUAUGUGUGUGUUAAAAUAACUAUGUAGAGAAAGAUUCUGAUUGUUAUUUUAGAAAUAAAAAUGAAAAUAUUUGCCUUUCACAA
This is an RNA transcript of Manis pentadactyla (Chinese pangolin), 3351 nucleotides long. It is a transcript of the gene named adhesion G protein-coupled receptor F4, with no coding region annotated. The transcript has 11 exons. The record is from RefSeq and is a predicted model, not a curated record. NCBI's taxonomy places the organism in Eukaryota, Metazoa, Chordata, Mammalia, Pholidota, Manidae.